AAGCGCCUGCGACAUAGAAUAGAGAUAAAAGCAUUACAAAAGGCUCAUUCAUCGAAAAUCAAAAUCAUACAGACAGGAAAAGAAAAACGAAUUUCUAUCAAAUCAAUAGAAGAAAGGAUCCUUUCCCUGAUUUGAAUCCCGUCCUCCUUCAAAUAGGAUAUCUCUAGACUUCCCUAUAAUAACUGCAAUGAUUUUAUCCAUUUUGCGAAUUCCUACUUUGUUUUAAGUAUAUUUAUUACUUUGUUUAUAGAUACAUUAUGUAAAUUGAUCAACUUUAAAUAGAAAAAAUAAAGUAAAGAGUAAAUAAGAAAACAGAAUAUUCUGUCUCAUAGUUCUGAAAUAGAGUUCUUUAUUUUUAUUUUAUAGUAUUACUUCUCAUUAAUUCUACUGCAUAGAUUAGUCCUACUAUCUUAAUUAGGUUCUAAUUUAGUAGUAUUCUCAUUUUUAUUUAAUAGUCUCUUAUUAUUUUAUUAUUAAAUAUUAACUAAAGGAUAGAGCUAUUCUUUUUUCUAGAGAUUCUAGAGAAAGCGAGACAAAGUGAAACGAGAAAGUUUUCUUUAUAUAAGAAUUAGAUCUACAUACACCAUAUCUAAAUAGUAUGGAAAUCCAAAAGAAAGGGAGUUGGGAUUCCAUUGGAUGAAUCUUUAAAGAAGAUGCAGCACAGAGGAAACAAAGGCUAAACUAAGCGCUUUUGUUUGAACAAAAAAGAUUCUUGUUUCACCGAGGAAAAGAGAGAAGUUCUGGAUAAAUUGACAAUGCUGAAUUGAAUUGACUAAUUUAAGUUCCGCCUAUUCCACAUUAAUGGGAGUACAUUAUGUUUCUGCUUCACGAAUAUGAUAUUUUUUGGACAUUUCUAAUAAUAGCAAG
RNAcentral lists this ribosomal RNA (867 nucleotides) under Triticum aestivum (bread wheat). RNAcentral's name for it is "partial small subunit ribosomal RNA". The record is from RNAcentral. Lineage: Eukaryota; Viridiplantae; Streptophyta; Magnoliopsida; Poales; Poaceae.